AUUGAACGCUGGCGGCAGGCCUAACACAUGCAAGUCGAACGGUAACAGGAAGAAGCUUGCUUCUUUGCUGACGAGUGGCGGACGGGUGAGUAAUGUCUGUGAAACUGCCUGAUGGAGGGGGAUAACUACUGGAAACGGUAGCUACUACCGCAUAACGUCGCAAGACCAAAGAGGGGGACCUUCGGGCCUCUUGCCAUCGGAUGUGCCCAGAUGGGAUUAGCUAGUAGGUGGGGUAACGGCUCACCUAGGCGACGAUCCCUAGCUGGUCUGAGAGGAUGACCAGCCACACUGGAACUGAGACACGGUCCAGACUCCUACGGGAGGCAGCAGUGGGGAAUAUUGCACAAUGGGCGCAAGCCUGAUGCAGCCAUGCCGCGUGUAUGAAGAAGGCCUUCGGGUUGUAAAGUACUUUCAGCGGGGAGGAAGGGAGUAAAGUUAAUACCUUUGCUCAUUGACGUUACCCGCAGAAGAAGCACCGGCUAACUCCGUG
This 490-nucleotide ribosomal RNA is filed under the name uncultured bacterium. RNAcentral describes it as "partial 16S ribosomal RNA". It matches the Rfam family "Bacterial small subunit ribosomal RNA", at positions 30 to 507 of the family's 1533-position model. The record is from RNAcentral.